Molecule: ribosomal RNA, 496 nt
Filed under: uncultured bacterium
Lineage: Bacteria
Description: partial 16S ribosomal RNA
Rfam family: Bacterial small subunit ribosomal RNA
Source: RNAcentral
AUGAACGCUGGCGGCGUGCCUAAUACCUGCAAGUCGCGCGAACGGACGAGAAGCUUGCUUCUCUGAUGUUAGCGGCGGACGGGUGAGUAACACGUGGAUAACCUACCUAUAAGACUGGGAUAACUUCGGGAAACCGUAGCUAAUACCGGAUAAUAUUUCGAACCGCAUGGUUCAAAAGUGAAAGACGGUCUUGCUGUCACUUAUAGAUGGAUCUGCGCUGCAUUAGCUAGUUGGUAAGGUAACGGCUUACCAAGGCAACGAUGCAUAGCCGACCUGAGAGGGUGAUCGGCCACACUGGAACUGAGACACGGUCCAGACUCCUACGGGAGGCAGCAGUAGGGAAUCUUCCGCAAUGGGCGAAAGCCUGACGGAGCAACGCCGCGUGAGUGAUGAAGGUCUUCGGAUCGUAAAACUCUGUUAUUAGGGAAGAACAUAUGUGUAAGUAACUGUGCACAUCUUGACGGUACCUAAUCAGAAAGCCACGGCUAACUACGUG